Long non-coding RNA from Cucurbita maxima (winter squash), 222 nucleotides. RefSeq lists it as uncharacterized. The transcript has 2 exons. The record is from RefSeq and is a predicted model, not a curated record. NCBI's taxonomy places the organism in Eukaryota, Viridiplantae, Streptophyta, Magnoliopsida, Cucurbitales, Cucurbitaceae.
AAAGGGAAAAUAAUCUGGAAAACUUUACUGGAAGCUUCAAUAGGAUCGAAUGGCAAACAAAAAGACCAUAUAUCUAAUUUAGUUUUCAAUAAUUAAGCUUCAUUAAUGUUGAAACGCUACUUGGGCUACCGAUUUUUGAUAAUCCUCCCGACACUGUUAUAUGAAUAGGAUUCAAGCCAAACAAUUGCACCAAAAUAAAGGUUCAUGAACUCUCUUAUUCCA